Molecule: ribosomal RNA, 1697 nt
Filed under: Campylobacter coli
Lineage: Bacteria; Pseudomonadati; Campylobacterota; Epsilonproteobacteria; Campylobacterales; Campylobacteraceae
Description: bacterial LSU rRNA
Rfam family: Bacterial large subunit ribosomal RNA
Source: RNAcentral
AAAAAAGGUAAGCUACUAAGAGCGAAUGGUGGAUGCCUUGACUGGUAAAGGCGAUGAAGGACGUACUAGACUGCGAUAAGCUACGGGGAGCUGUCAAGAAGCUUUGAUCCGUAGAUUUCCGAAUGGGGCAACCCAAUGUAUAGAGAUAUACAUUACCUAUAUAGGAGCGAACGAGGGGAAUUGAAACAUCUUAGUACCCUCAGGAAAAGAAAUCAAUAGAGAUUGCGUCAGUAGCGGCGAGCGAAAGCGCAAGAGGGCAAACCCAGUGCUUGCACUGGGGGUUGUAGGACUGCAAUGUGCAAGAGGUGAGUUUAGCAGAACAUUCUGGAAAGUAUAGCCAUAGAGGGUGAUAGUCCCGUAUGCGAAAAACAAACCUUAGCUAGCAGUAUCCUGAGUAGGGCGGGACACGAGAAAUCCUGUCUGAAGCUGGGUCGACCACGAUCCAACCCUAAAUACUAAUACCAGAUCGAUAGUGCACAAGUACCGUGAGGGAAAGGUGAAAAGAACUGAGGUGAUCAGAGUGAAAUAGAACCUGAAACCAUUUGCUUACAAUCAUUCAGAGCCCUAUGUAGCAAUACAGGGUGAUGGACUGCCUUUUGCAUAAUGAGCCUGCGAGUUGUGGUGUCUGGCAAGGUUAAGCAAACGCGAAGCCGUAGCGAAAGCGAGUCUGAAUAGGGCGCUUAGUCAGAUGCUGCAGACCCGAAACGAAGUGAUCUAUCCAUGAGCAAGUUGAAGCUAGUGUAAGAACUAGUGGAGGACUGAACCCAUAGGCGUUGAAAAGCCCCGGGAUGACUUGUGGAUAGGGGUGAAAGGCCAAUCAAACUUCGUGAUAGCUGGUUCUCUCCGAAAUAUAUUUAGGUAUAGCGUUGUGUCGUAAUAUAAGGGGGUAGAGCACUGAAUGGGCUAGGGCAUACACCAAUGUACCAAACCCUAUCAAACUCCGAAUACCUUAUAUGUAAUCACAGCAGUCAGGCGGCGAGUGAUAAAAUCCGUCGUCAAGAGGGAAACAACCCAGACUACCAGCUAAGGUCCCUAAAUCUUACUUAAGUGGAAAACGAUGUGAAGUUACUUAAACAACCAGGAGGUUGGCUUAGAAGCAGCCAUCCUUUAAAGAAAGCGUAAUAGCUCACUGGUCUAGUGAUUUUGCGCGGAAAAUAUAACGGGGCUAAAGUAAGUACCGAAGCUGUAGACUUGCGCACAACUUAGAUUAUUUAAGUUUAGAAUAUGAGAAACUAAGUUAUAUGUUUAGUUAUAUUUUUACUGAUUUUUAUAGAGUAAAGAUAGAAAUAAAACUUAGUAAAAUCAGUAAAAAUAUUCUUAGACUAAAGUUAAGUAGUUUAAGUUGUGUGCAAGUGGUAGGAGAGCGUUCUAUUUGCGUCGAAGGUAUACCGGUAAGGAGUGCUGGAGCGAAUAGAAGUGAGCAUGCAGGCAUGAGUAGCGAUAAUUAAUGUGAGAAUCAUUAACGCCGUAAACCCAAGGUUUCCUACGCGAUGCUCGUCAUCGUAGGGUUAGUCGGGUCCUAAGUCGAGUCCGAAAGGGGUAGACGAUGGCAAAUUGGUUAAUAUUCCAAUACCAACAUUAGUGUGCGAUGGAAGGACGCUUAGGGCUAAGGGGGCUAGCGGAUGGAAGUGCUAGUCUAAGGUCGUAGGAGGUUAUACAGGCAAAUCCGUAUAACAAUACUCCGAGAACUGAAAGGC